GAAGCAGCUAGAGAUUAGCUGUGUCCUUCGGGACAAGGAGACAGGUGGUGCAUGGUUGUCGUCAGCUCGUGUCGUGAGAUGUUGGGUUAAGUCCCGCAACGAGCGCAACCCUGUGGUUAGUUGCCAGCAAGUUAGCGUUGGGCACUCUAGCCAGACUGCCGGUGAUAAAUCGGAGGAAGGUGGGGACGACGUCAAAUCAUCAUGCCCUUUAUGUCCUGGGCUACACACGUACUACAAUGGCGUAUACAGAGAGACGCGAAGUGGCGACAUGGAGCAAACCUCAACAAAGUACGUCUCAGUUCAGAUUGAAGUCUGCAACUCGACUUCAUGAAGGCGGAAUCGCUAGUAAUCGCGGAUCAGCAUGCCGCGGUGAAUACGUUCCCGGGCCUU
Molecule: ribosomal RNA, 390 nt
Filed under: uncultured Erysipelothrix sp.
Lineage: Bacteria; Bacillati; Bacillota; Erysipelotrichia; Erysipelotrichales; Erysipelotrichaceae
Description: bacterial SSU rRNA
Rfam family: Bacterial small subunit ribosomal RNA
Source: RNAcentral